This 468-nucleotide ribosomal RNA is filed under the name uncultured bacterium. RNAcentral's name for it is "bacterial SSU rRNA". It matches the Rfam family "Bacterial small subunit ribosomal RNA", at positions 335 to 803 of the family's 1533-position model. The record is from RNAcentral.
ACUCCUACGGGAGGCAGCAGUGAGGAAUAUUGGACAAUGGUCGGAAGACUGAUCCAGCCAUGCCGCGUGCAGGAAGACUGCCCUAUGGGUUGUAAACUGCUUUUAUACAGGAAGAAUAAGCUCUACGAGUAGAGUGAUGACGGUACUGUAAGAAUAAGCAUCGGCUAACUCCGUGCCAGCAGCCGCGGUAAUACGGAGGAUGCAAGCGUUAUCCGGAAUCAUUGGGUUUAAAGGGUCCGUAGGCGGUCAAUUAAGUCAGAGGUGAAAUCCUAUAGCUUAACUAUAGAACUGCCUUUGAUACUGGUUGACUUGAGUUAUACGGAAGUAGGUAGAAUGUGUAGUGUAGCGGUGAAAUGCAUAGAUAUUACACAGAAUACCGAUUGCGAAGGCAGCCUACUACGUAUAUACUGACGCUCAUGGACGAAAGCGUGGGGAGCGAACAGGAUUAGAUACCCUGGUAGGCGUAGU